GUGUACAGUGAGGUUGAUAUUGAGGGACAGUACCUGAUGUAGUGUGGGGAUGUGUACGGUGAGGUAGAUAUUGAGGGCCAGUACCUGAUGUAUAGUGUGGGGAUGUGUACCGUGAGGUAGAUAUUGAGGGCCAGUACCUGAUGUAUAGUGUGGGGAUGUGUACCGUGAGGUAGAUAUUGAGGGCCAGUACCUGAUGUAGUGUGGGGAUGUGUACCGUGAGGUAGAUAUUGAUGGCCAGUACCUGAUGUAAUGUGAUAAUGUGUACCGUGAGGUAGAUAUUGAGGGCCCUCCCUACAUAGAUGUGGUAUGGGAUCUGUUCCAAGUGAUGUGGAAUUUGGAUAAUGCAGAGCAAUGAGUAAACAACAGGAGACUCCAUCACUAUCUGGGUUACUGUCAUUGUUCAAUAACUGAUUUAUCACAAGGAUGUUAUCAGCAGUAAUACUGUCACCUACCGGGGCUCUAUUUAGAUAUUUGUUAUCUAAUCUGUCCAGAGUUAUCAGUAUAUUGUUCAUGUCCUGUUUUCAGUUUCAGAUGAUAAGUUUUACAUUUAAAAAAUUGAAUUGUGUAGUGGAAAUGUUUUAGAUGGUAAUCAGUUGUGUCAAAAAGACGUGACUGUAACAGGGCUUACACCAGUCAGUGCCUGUUUAGAUAGCCAACCUGCUGUGGCCCUGAUGAUGGUUUGUAGAGCUUCACCUUGGAGAGAGAGUUGUGAUUCGGCUAUCAUAUAUCUGAUUGGGAUAGCUGUCCAGGGGUUUCAAUUACUUAUAUCUGAGAUACCUACCUAAAUGACUUGGAAAGAUUACCCGCAAUUUUGUUUCGACUGGAAUUAUUAAAUAUUUUGGCUACACGUGAGAAAAAUGUCCAAAGAUUUGAAGCGGCUAUCUCAGCAUUGGAAGGAAUGUGUCCCUACGGAAUACACUGUCACUCCGGUCGUGGAGAUCCUAGGACCCAGAGGCCCGAGGGUCACACGCCACGCCAGCUUCCUCCAACUCGGUCAUGGUUACAGACACAAAAAGGUUUGAUGUAAACAUGAUGGGACAUGGCCUUCCGCAAUUCUUAGGUUUGAUACCAGCUGGUACAGUCGUGGAAGUACGGAGGUAUUCGGCUUAUUACUGGUUCAGUCGGGGAAGUACGGAGGUAUGCGGCUUAUUACUGGUACAGUCGUGGUAGUAUGGAGGUAUUCGGCUUAUUUCUGGUACAGUCGGGGAAGUACGGAAGUAUUCGGCUUAUUACUGGUA
This is a long non-coding RNA of Mizuhopecten yessoensis (Yesso scallop), 1238 nucleotides long. RefSeq lists it as uncharacterized. The transcript has 4 exons. The record is from RefSeq and is a predicted model, not a curated record. NCBI's taxonomy places the organism in Eukaryota, Metazoa, Mollusca, Bivalvia, Pectinida, Pectinidae.